GAGCCUCAGAUGAAACUGCUGGCUUCAGUGAGCCAGAAUCUCAUUGACGGAUCCUACCCAAGGAUCCAGCAUGUCUAAGCAGCACUCAGGCAUGCGGUGUGCACGCUGCUAAGUGGAGCUUCCUCUUUGGUGCUGUCUGGCUGACAGACACAUGACGGCGUGUGUCAUUGCCCUAAAUCCCUGUUCUUUCUGAUACUGCUCGUAUCAUUCCUUUCCCUCCUGGAACUUCCACUCGGGAACAAAUUUGCAUUUCCUAAUCAGUUGAAUUGCCUGUGGCAGUGGGAGUUCUUAUUUGCAAGUAAUGCCUAUUGGAUCUUUGAUACAAGCUUUUGCAAGCCUUUGUUGUGCAAAUGCAGGCGUAUAACUCAAGUAAACCAAUUGGCUUCAGUAGGAUUACCCAUAAGAGAGUUAAAUGCUAAGUCAUAUGAAUAAAUACCACUCUUGAAGAGGCAAAUUCUGCAAUUUAGGACAACUUUAAUUUUUAAAGAAAAAGUGGUUGCGGCAUAAAUCAUCGGUUAAACCAAUAAGAUAAUCAGUUUUCUGUUCAGCUUGUCUGCAAAUGUGAGAGGUGGUUUUUUGCUUGUUUGUUUUUGUUUGUUUGUUUGCUUGCUUGUUUUGCAAUCAUACUAAGAAUAUAUUAAUAUUUGCAUCUCAGAGUAUCAUUCCUUCCUUAGAGGAAUGAAGAACGAUUGUGUCACAUGUUGCAGGUAGGAGAACAGCCACAGAACAAGCAAAGGGAUUUAGGGUUACUGAGUAUCCUACGGGAAAGCAAAAAACAGCAUUUCUGGCUUCCAGCUUCUAGCCAGCAUCUCCCAGACAGAAGUCAGCAAUGUCAGCAAGGUCUCUGGCCAGCUGGUAAUAUUAAUUUCAAAAAUUUUAAGUACCUACUAAAAAGGAACACUGAAGUGAUAAGAUAAAAUGCAUGCUAUAGUUGCUGUUGCAAACAGCAUUUUUAACAGCCACAGUGAAAAUAGAAGCAGUUCUAGAACUUUUCAUUAUUUUUUUCCUGGCUGUCGUUCACUGCAUGAAUUCCUGUUAUCAUGUGGGAGUGGAUUCAGCAAUUUCCAAGGCAUUUUUAACUGCUGUGUUGUUCUUCUGGUUCAUGGCUCCGACAGCAUAAGCUUGGUCUUGCAGUCCCUGAACUUGAUUUCUCUGGUAACAUUUCCUGCUGUGAAGGUUUGCUGUAUGAGUGCCAUUGUUUGUUCCUCUGCCUUACCAUCAGCCCAGCAGUGCAAUGGCAUCAUGUCCCUGAACCAAUGUGACUGUGACUAGACAAAAAGCUGCUGAAUACAGUGUACUGUCUUUAACACUACAAAUUAUAAAGCAUUUUAAAGGAUAUGGGGCAGACUUGCUAAGUGAUUCUCGUCUAGCUUAUGAGCAUGCUUUAUGCAGCAUACAGAGCACAGGGGUCAAUUCUUGAAGACGUCCUGUCUUACUGUACUAGGUGUAAUAUUUUCUGGCCCUUGUAUGUGUACAUAGCUUCCUCCAUCAGAGAAAAUGGUAAUGAGUUUGCAUACCAAGGAGACAAUAAAUCCCAGUUCCCCUUCA
RNAcentral lists this long non-coding RNA (1548 nucleotides) under Anas platyrhynchos platyrhynchos (common mallard). RNAcentral describes it as "lncRNA (ENSAPLG00000016597.1)". The record is from RNAcentral. Lineage: Eukaryota; Metazoa; Chordata; Aves; Anseriformes; Anatidae.